RNAcentral lists this ribosomal RNA (497 nucleotides) under uncultured bacterium. Its description in RNAcentral is "partial 16S ribosomal RNA". It matches the Rfam family "Bacterial small subunit ribosomal RNA", at positions 28 to 507 of the family's 1533-position model. The record is from RNAcentral.
GAUGAACGCUGGCGGCGUGCCUAAUACAUGCAAGUCGAGCGAACAGACGAGGAGCUUGCUCCUCUGACGUUAGCGGCGGACGGGUGAGUAACACGUGGAUAACCUACCUAUAAGACUGGGAUAACUUCGGGAAACCGGAGCUAAUACCGGAUAAUAUAUUGAACCGCAUGGUUCAAUAGUGAAAGACGGUUUUGCUGUCACUUAUAGAUGGAUCCGCGCCGCAUUAGCUAGUUGGUAAGGUAACGGCUUACCAAGGCAACGAUGCGUAGCCGACCUGAGAGAGUGAUCGGCCACACGGGAACUGAGACACGGUCCAGAGGCCUACGGGAGGCAGCAGUAGGGAAUCUUCCGCAAUGGGCGAAAGCCUGACGGAGCAACGCCGCGUGAGUGAUGAAGGUCUUCGGAUCGGAAAACUCUGUUAUUAGGGAAGAACAAAUGUGUAAGUAACUAUGCACGUCUUGACGGUACCUAAUCAGAAAGCCACGGCUAACUACGUG